GACGAACGCUGGCGGCGUGCUUAAGACAUGCAAGUCGUACGAGAAAGUCUCUUCGGAGAUGAGUAAAGUGGCGCACGGGUGAGUAACGCGUGGGUAAUCUGCCCUUAGGUUUGGGAUAACCCCGGGAACCGGAGCUAAUACCGAAUGAGACCACGAUGACUUCGGUCGAUGUGGGAAAAGGUGGCCUCUUCUUGAAAGCUAUCGCCAAAGGAUGAGCCCGCGUUUGAUUAGCUAGUUGGUGAGGUAAUGGCUCACCAAGGCGACGAUCAAUAGCUGGUCUGAGAGGACGAUCAGCCACACUGGAACUGAGAUACGGUCCAGACUCCUACGGGAGGCAGCAGUCAGGAAUAUUGGGCAAUGGGCGAAAGCCUGACCCA
RNAcentral lists this ribosomal RNA (377 nucleotides) under uncultured bacterium. RNAcentral's name for it is "bacterial SSU rRNA". It matches the Rfam family "Bacterial small subunit ribosomal RNA", at positions 28 to 390 of the family's 1533-position model. The record is from RNAcentral.